GACGAACGCUGGCGGCGUGCUUAACACAUGCAAGUCGAACGGAAAGGCCCUGCUUUUGUGGGGUGCUCGAGUGGCGAACGGGUGAGUAACACGUGAGUAACCUGCCCUUGACUUUGGGAUAACUUCAGGAAACUGGGGCUAAUACCGGAUAGGAGCUACUGCUGCAUGGGGGGGGUUGGAAAGUUUCGGCGGUUGGGGAUGGACUCGCGGCUUAUCCGCUUGUUGGUGGGGUAGUGGCUUACCAAGGCUUUGACGGGUAGCCGGCCUGAGAGGGUGACCGGCCACAUUGGGACUGAGAUACGGCCCAGACUCCUACGGGAGGCAGCAGUGGGGAAGAUUGCACAAUGGGCGGAAGCCUGAUGCAGCAACGCCGCGUGCGGGAUGACGGCCUUCGGGUUGUAAACCGCUUUCGCCUGUGACGAAGCGUGAGUGACGGUAAUGGGUAAAGAAGCACCGGCUAACUACGUG
This 468-nucleotide ribosomal RNA is filed under the name uncultured bacterium. RNAcentral describes it as "partial 16S ribosomal RNA". It matches the Rfam family "Bacterial small subunit ribosomal RNA", at positions 28 to 507 of the family's 1533-position model. The record is from RNAcentral.